CGGGGUGCAGCAGGCGCGAAAACUCUACAAUGCAGGCAACUGCGAUAGGGGGACAUCGAGUGGCAUCCACCUUGGGUGCCUGUCCAACCGUCUAAAAAACGGUUGUUAGCAAGGGCCGGGUAAGACCGGUGCCAGCCGCCGCGGUAAUACCGGCGGCUCGAGUGGUGGCCGAUAUUAUUGAGUCUAAAGGGUCCGUAGCCGGCUUUGCAAGUCCCCUGGGAAAUCCAGCGGCUUAACCGUUGGGCUUUCAUGGGAUACUACAUUGCUUGGGACUGGGAGAGGUAGGAGGUACUCGGGGGGUAGGGGUGAAAUCCUGUAAUCCUCCGGGGACCACCGGUGGCGAAGGCGUCCUACCAGAACAGGUCCGACGGUGAGGGACGAAAGCUAGGGGCACGAACCGGAUUAGAUACCCGGGUAGUCCUAGCCGUAAACGAUGCCCGCUAGGUGUCACGACGGUCGUGAAUCGUCGUGGUGCCGUAGGGAAGCCGCGAAGCGGGCCACUUGGGAAGUACGGCCGCAAGGCUGAAACUUAAAGGAAUUGGC
This 543-nucleotide ribosomal RNA is filed under the name uncultured archaeon. RNAcentral describes it as "bacterial SSU rRNA". It matches the Rfam family "Archaeal small subunit ribosomal RNA", at positions 326 to 869 of the family's 1478-position model. The record is from RNAcentral.